CUACGGGACGCUCCAGUGGGGAAUAUUGGACAAUGGGCGAAAGCCUGAUCCAGCAAUGCCGCGUGAGUGAUGAAGGCCUUAGGGUUGUAAAGCUCUUUUACCCGGGAUGAUAAUGACAGUACCGGGAGAAUAAGCUCCGGCUAACUCCGUGCCAGCAGCCGCGGUAAUACGGAGGGAGCUAGCGUUGUUCGGAAUUACUGGGCGUAAAGCGCACGUAGGCGGCUUUGUAAGUUAGAGGCGAAAGCCUGGAGCUCAACUCCAGAAUUGCCUUUAAGACUGCAUCGCUCGAAUCCAGGAGAGGUCAGUGGAAUUCCGAGUGUAGAGGUGAAAUUCGUAGAUAUUCGGAAGAACACCAGUGGCGAAGGCGGCUGACUGGACUGGUAUUGACGCUGAGGUGCGAAAGCGUGGGGAGCAAACAGGAUUAGAUACCCGUGUAGUC
RNAcentral lists this ribosomal RNA (439 nucleotides) under uncultured bacterium. RNAcentral describes it as "partial 16S ribosomal RNA". It matches the Rfam family "Bacterial small subunit ribosomal RNA", at positions 339 to 795 of the family's 1533-position model. The record is from RNAcentral.